This 502-nucleotide ribosomal RNA is filed under the name uncultured bacterium. Its description in RNAcentral is "bacterial SSU rRNA". It matches the Rfam family "Bacterial small subunit ribosomal RNA", at positions 27 to 518 of the family's 1533-position model. The record is from RNAcentral.
GAACGAACGCUGGCGGCGCGUCUUAAGCAUGCAAGUCGAACGGCAAGAGGUAGCAAUACCUCCUAGAGUGGCGGACUGGUGAGUAACACGUGGGUGACAUACCCUUCAGAUGGGGAUAGCUAUUAGAAAUAGUAGAUAAUACCGAAUACGAGCACAGGGGUUAGAGAUCUGUGAGGAAAGGAGCUAAGGCUCCGCUGAAGGAAUGGCCUGCGGCCCAUUAGCUAGUUGGUGAGGUAAGAGCCCACCAAGGCGAUGAUGGGUAUCCGGCCUUAGAGGGUGAACGGACACAUUGGGACUGAGAUACGGCCCAGACUCCUACGGGAGGCAGCAGCUAAGAAUAUUCCGCAAUGGACGAAAGUCUGACGGAGCGACGCCGCGUGGAUGAAGAAGGCCGGAAGGUUGUAAAAUCCUUUUGAAACUGAAGAAUAAGCGUUGUAGGGAAUGACAGCGUGGUGACAGUAGGUUUUGAAUAAGCAACGGCUAAUUACGUGCCAGCCGCGGC